CAAAGGGAUUACCGGUGGCGGAUGGGCAUGCGGCGCAUUAGCUAGUCGGCGGGGUAACGGCCCACCGAGGCGACGAUGCGUAGGGGUUCUGAGAGGAAGGUCCCCCACACUGGUACUGAGACACGGACCAGACUCCUACGGGAGGCAGCAGUGAGGAAUAUUGGUCAAUGGGCGCGAGCCUGAACCAGCCAAGUCGCGUGAGGGAUGACGGUCCUACGGAUUGUAAACCUCUUUUGCCGGGGAGCAAGCGUGCGUUCGUGAACGCGCGUCGAGAGUACCCGGAGAAAAAGCAUCGGCUAACUCCGUGCCAGCAGCCGCGGUAAUACGGAGGAUGCGAGCGUUAUCCGGAUUUAUUGGGUUUAAAGGGUGCGUAGGCGGGAUGCCAAGUCAGCGGUAAAAAUGCGGUGCUCAACGCCGUCGAGCCGUUGAAACUGGCGUUCUUGAGUGGGCGAGAAGUAUGCGGAAUGCGUGGUGUAGCGGUGAAAUGCAUAGAUAUCACGCAGAACUCCGAUUGCGAAGGCAGCAUACCGGCGCCCUACUGACGCUGAGGCACGAAAGCGUGGGUAUCGAACAGGAUUAGAUACCCUGGUAGUCCACGCAGUA
Molecule: ribosomal RNA, 603 nt
Filed under: uncultured bacterium
Lineage: Bacteria
Description: bacterial SSU rRNA
Rfam family: Bacterial small subunit ribosomal RNA
Source: RNAcentral